Molecule: ribosomal RNA, 397 nt
Filed under: uncultured bacterium
Lineage: Bacteria
Description: partial 16S ribosomal RNA
Rfam family: Bacterial small subunit ribosomal RNA
Source: RNAcentral
CCUACGGGGGGCUGCAGUGAGGAAUAUUGGUCAAUGGGCGCGAGCCUGAACCAGCCAAGUCGCGUGAAGGAUGACUGCCCUACGGGUUGUAAACCUCUUUUAUAAGGGAAUAAAGUGAGGCACGUGUGCCUUUUUGUAUGUACUUUAUGAAUAAGGAUCGGCUAACUCCGUGCCAGCAGCCGCGGUAAUACGGAGGAUGCGAGCGUUAUCCGGAUUUAUUGGGUUUAAAGGGUGCGUAGGUGGGUUGUUAAGUCAGUUGUGAAAGUUUGCGGCUCAACCGUAAAAUUGCAAUUGAUACUGGCAGUCUUGAGUACAGGAGAGGUAGGCGGAAUGCGUGGUGUAGCGGUGAAAUGCAUAGAUAUCACGAAGAACUCCGAUUGCGAAGGCAGCAUACUAA